Molecule: long non-coding RNA, 8366 nt
Filed under: Brassica napus (rape)
Lineage: Eukaryota; Viridiplantae; Streptophyta; Magnoliopsida; Brassicales; Brassicaceae
Description: long non-coding RNA (BNAP_LNC019694)
Source: RNAcentral
UUUUUGACGCAGCCUUCGGAUAUCUCGUCUCUCUCUUCUCCAUUGACGCAUCCUUCGAUCUGUGCUUGAGCUCUCUCCAUCUCUCUCGAUCUCGACCCCUCUCUCCAUCUCUCUCGAUCUCGACAAAAACCCAUCUCUUCUCACUCUCGAAUCUCUUCAUCGACCUCUCUGGUCUCAGCCUCUCUCCAUCUCUCUCCUCUCAGCUCUCCCUCUCGACGACCCUCUCAAGCUCGACCUCUCAGGCUCUCCCUCUCUGGACAACCCUCUAAAGCUCAUACCCUCUCCGAACUACUGGCUCUCGAGGAUUUGUGUUACCUUCAAGGAGUGUUGUUACUCUCAUAACUCUGAAGGGUAAGCUCAUUUCGGAUCUCAUGUUUCUGCUAUGUCCAUGUUUUUGUUGUUGAGACUAAUUUGGGGAACAAUCUUUGCUUCAGGUGCGUGAGAUGUUUGCAGCAAGUGGAUAUUGAGUACAAGUCAUUGAAGGCAAAGCUUCAGGAUUUGUUCAAUGUAAGUGACAAAAGGAUUAUUAGAAACUGUGAAAGAAACAUAGUUUUUUUCUUUUGAAUUCAUUCAUGAAUGAUUCUUGUAUUGUUUGUUGCAGCUUGAGCAGCAGAUUGUCCAAGUUACAGAAGCUCUUUGUUUCCAGAUAGUGAAGGUGUUGGAUUUCGUUGCAAAGAAAGAAAGUCUGCAACUGCCCCACGGUUUUACAGCAUUACAAGUACUUCUAGGUAACAUCCGAGAAGCAUUACAAGUUAUCUGUCUCUGUGUUCCAUGAUCUAUGAUUCUGUUUAUUUGUUUCUUGAUUUCGUGAUGCUGGUUCCUGUGAUGCCUAGCUGUUGACUGUUGCUAUUGCAAAUGUAUGUCAUUUCUCUGAUAGCUCACACUACCUUUUGUGUUCUGAUAUAUAUUCUAAAACAUUGAUGCUAGUGAUGGUCUGAUAACUCAAUUGAUUACUUGUGUCUGAUAACUCAAAUGAUUACUUUCGUAAGCUUCCUUUCUUCUGUUGAUGGAUUUAUGAUGAUUACUGCCGUUGAACUUGUACUGUCUGAUAAGCUUUCUUUCCAAGUGGUUUUAAGUCACAAAACGUGUACUGUCAUUUGCCAGCUCUAAAGGUCUGUUGAUUGUGAAGUUGUAAGGUCUUCAUGUUCUCAUAGCAUAGAUGAUAACUUCAUGUUCUCAUUGCUUCUUCUUUCUGCUUUUUUUUUGCAGGUCUCAGGCUCGCAAGCUCAAACCCUCUCCAAGCUCACUCUCUCGAUGGCAAUAGAUGUAAGCUCAGAUCCUUCUUCUUUGCAUUUGUGUAUAGAAAUGUCUUUAGGUUGUAUGGAACUUGAGUUUGUGUAUAGAAAUGUCUUUAGAUUGAAUGGAACUUGAGUUUAUGUGUAUAGAACUGUGUUUAGGUUGUAUGGAACUUGAGUUUAUGAGUUUAUAAAUGGAACUUGCUGUAUGUGUUUUGCUUUAGACUUGGAAACCUGAGGAAACUAGAUAUUUUUUCGAACUCUAUGCAGAAGAGAGAAGAAAAGGAAAUAAGGCUGGUAUAUCAAUGAAUAAAGUGGGGAAAGCAAACAUUAUGGAGGCGUUUGAACAACGGUUUAAGAAGAAUUUACCUGAUUGGAAGCCCUACAAGAGCAAGUACGACACCAGUAGGAAGAAAUACAUCAAGAUUAAGACGCUGACUCAAAACGGGACAGGGCUUGGGUUUGAUGACAUGGGAAGGAUUGACAUGUCAGAUGAUUGGUGGAGUGAACGCGAAAGGGUCAGUUUCACAUUAUUCUCUCUUCAGUUUCACAUUUUACUAUAUAGCAUAAUGAUAAUAAGCAGCUUAUAUUACAUUUUUUUCUCUGUUAAUGGCAUUGCUAUCACUAACUUACUCUUUGUUUUUUGCUGUAUAGGAGUGUCCUGGGAUUAGAAGAUCCGUAUGCAAAGAGAUUAGUAACAUGGAUAUGUUUGAAGCGGAAUUUGGUGGUGUAGUAGUAACUGGAGCUGAAGGAUGGAGCGCUCAACAUGGAGAAGCCAGUUUGAACUCUAGAGUGGGUGAAGAUGAUGGUGAUGAUGAAGCUGAUUCUCAGUCAGCAGCAGAAACUCAAGCAUUGGAGACAGAAACACAGCCACAAGCCCCACGCCAAACUCAGCCAUCGACUCAGACUCAUUCUGGAAGUUCAAGAGCAAAAAGAAGGCGUAAGGAGAAAGACAUGGUUGUAGAAGCUUGUGUGAAACGGACUGAAAGUAUUUUGAAUAACAAUCUGAACAUACAUUAACAAAAAUAAGUAAAUAAUCAUUUGAUUCAGUUGUGUUUUUGUAUCUGUUAGGUACUUACAUGAUAUCUAUAUCUAUAUUGAAUAUUCGUAGGUAAGUACUAAAACCAUAGUGCUGUUUGUUUGGUUGCCGCAGGUACCUGCGUCGGCGUCGGCAUCAAUUUUUUAAAAUAAUCUUGUUCGUUUCGUUGACACGCCGGUACUGCGUCUGCGUUCUCGCAUCAGACGCCAAAAAAAUCUGCGUCGUGCGAUAAAAAGUCAGCGUCUGAGGUUUGUUUUACACAUAUACCCUUAAUGUUUUUCAUUAUUUACGUAACCCUAAUUCAAUUUAAACGCGGCUUUACCUUUUUGACGCAGCCUUCGGAUAUCUCGUCUCAGCCUCUUCUCCAUUGAGGCAUCCUUCGAUCUGUGCUUGAGCUCUCUCCAUCUCUCUCGAUCUCGACGAAAACCCAUCUCUUCUCACUCUUGAAUCUCUUCAUCGACCUCUCUGGUCUCAGCCUCUCUCCAUCUCUCUCGUCUCAGCUCUCCCUCUCUACGACCCUCUCAAGCUCGACCUCUCAGGCUCUCCCUCUUUGGACAACGCUCUGAAGCUCAGACCCUCUCAGAACUACUGGCUCUCGAGGAUUUGUGUUACCUUCAAGGAGUGUUGUUACUCUCAUAACUCUGAAGGGUAAGCUCAUUUCGGAUCUCAUGUUUCUGCUAUGUCCAUGUUUUUGUUGUUGAGACUAAUUUGGGGAACAAUCUUUGCUUCAGGUGCGUGAGAUGUUUGCAGCAAGUGGAUAUUGAGUACAAGUCAUUGAAGGCAAAGCUUCAGGAUUUGUUCAAUGUAAGUGACAAAAGGAUUAUUAGAAACUGUGAAAGAAACAUAGUUUUUUUCUUUUGAAUUCAUUCAUGAAUGAUUCUUGUAUUGUUUGUUGCAGCUUGAGCAGCAGAUUGUCCAAGUUACAGAAGCUCUUUGUUUCCAGAUAGUGAAGGUGUUGGAUUUCGUUGCAAAGAAAGAAAGUCUGCAACUGCCCCACGGUUUUACAGCAUUACAAGUACUUCUAGGUAACAUCCGAGAAGCAUUACAAGUUAUCUGUCUCUGUGUUCCAUGAUCUAUGAUUCUGUUUAUUUGUUUCUUGAUUUCGUGAUGCUGGUUCCUGUGAUGCCUAGCUGUUGACUGUUGCUAUUGCAAAUGUAUGUCAUUUCUCUGAUAGCUCACACUACCUUUUGUGUUCUGAUAUAUAUUCUAAAACAUUGAUGCUAGUGAUGGUCUGAUAACUCAAUUGAUUACUUGUGUCAGUUGUACCAAUGUGGCAAGUGAGGAAUUGGUGAACAAACUGGGCCUUGAGGUGUAUAAGCAUCCUAAGCCUUACGUGUUACAAUGGCUCAACAAAGAGGGAGAGAUGAAGGCCAGUAGACAAGUGAAAGUCUUACUGACAGUGAGAAGAUAUCAGGAUUAGAUCACCUGUGAUAUAUUUCCUCUAGAAGCUAGUCAUAUUCUGCUCGGGCGUCCAUGGCAGUAUGACAAGAGGGCAGUACAUGAUGGCUUCACCAACAAACACACUUUCACCCACAAGGAGAAGCAUACCACAUUGGUUCCUUUGACGCCUCAGGAAGUACAUCAGGAUCAGAUGCAUCUCAAAAGGAAAAGGGAAGAAGCUAGUGCGUUAGCUAAGACCUUGUCGCUGGACGAGGUCAAUAAGGUAAGUAAACUGAACGUCUUUGCUACUACCAAAGAUAUCAAGACUGCUAUGCUUGAACAACAAAAUCUGAUAUUGAUAGUAUAAAAAGAGUUGCUGAUUUCCUCCACUAACAAUGACCCAUUCAUUCCAGCAGAGAUUGAGUUUCUUUUGCAGGAAUACAUGGAUGUUUUUCCAGGAGAUAACCCAGUUGGCUUACCUCCCAUCAGAGGGAUUGAACACCAAAUUGAUUUUGUACCAGGAGCAACACUCCCAAAUCGUCCAACAUACAUGACAAACCCUGUUGAGACGAAGUAGCUCCAGAAACAAGUUAAUGAUCUCUUAGAGAAGGGCCACAUCAGAGAGAGCAUGAGUCCUUUGUGAUGUACCUGUUCUGCUGGUGCCCAAGAAGGAUGGAAGCUAGCGCAUGUGUGUGGAUUCCAGAGCCAUCAACAAUAUCACAGUUAAGUACAUACAUCCUAUCCCUCGCUUAGAUGAUAUGUUAGAUGAGUUGCAUGUUUCAUGUGUCUUCUCUAAAAUUGAUUUAAAGAGUGGUUACCAUAGAAUGAAAGAAGGAAAUGAGUGGAAAACUGCCUUUAAAAGUAAGCUAGGACUGUAUGAAUGGCUUGUCAUGCCUUUUGGUCUUACUAAUGCACCUAGUACAUUCAUGAGGUUGAUGAACCAUGUCUUGAGAGCACUGAUAGGACGAUUUGUGGUAGUAUAUUUUGAUGACAUAUUGAUUUAUAGCAAGACCAUGAAAGAACAUGUUGAACACUUGAGACAAGUCCUAGACGUGCUUAGGAAGGAGAACUUCUAUGCUAAUUACAAGAAAUGCACUUUUGGAGCACAUAACCUUAUUUUCCUAGGUUUUGUUGUGACAUCACAUAGUAUACAGGUUGAUGAAGAAAAGGUUAAGGCCAUAAAGGAGUGGCCGACCCCCAAAAGCAUUGGUGAAGUCAGGAGUUUUCAUGGACUUGCUGGCUUCUACAAGAGGUUUGUGAGAGCCUUCAGUAUCAUUGCUGCCCCACUCACUGAAGUCAUUAAGAAGAAUGUAGGGUUCACGUGGGGACAAGCUCAAGAAGAUGCAUUCCAGCUGCUUAAAGGAAGGUUAACAAGUGCUCCUUUACUUGUGAUUCCUGACUUUCUUAAAACUUUUGAAAUUGAAUGUGAUGCAUCUGGAAUUGGAAUUGGAGCUGUGAUGAUGCAAGAUAAGAGACCUAUAGCUUAUUUCAGUAAGAAGCUUGGAGGCGCCACCCUGAACUAUCCAACCUAUGACAAGGAGCUUUAUGCCCUUGUGAGAGCUCUCCAGGUGUGGCAACAUUACCUUUGGCCUAAAGAGUUUGUGAUCCAUACAGAUCAUGAAUCUCUAAAGCAUAUCAAAGGGCAACAUAAGCUGAACAAGAGGCAUGCUAGGUGGGCUGAGUUCAUUGAGACAUUCCCUUAUGUCAUCCACUACAAGCAUGGUAAGGAGAAUGUUGUGGCUGAUGCAUUUUCAAGGAGGUAUGUUCUCUUAUCUUCAAUGGAAACAAAGAUUUUGGGAUUUGAACACCUUAAGUCAUGCUAUACUGAUGAUCUAGAGUUUCAGAAAGCGUUUAGACAAACUGAAAAACAUGCUAGUAGCAAAUUUUAUCAAGUAAAAGGAUUUGUUUUCUAUGAUAACCGCUUGUGUGUACCUUGUGGUUCUUUGAGGGAACUAUAUGUCAGGGAAGCUUAUGGAGGAGGACUGAUGGGGCACUUUGGGGUCGCUAAGACAUUGUCUAUUUUGCAAGAACACUUCUACUGGCCUAACAUGAAGAAGGAAGUGGAGAAAGUGUGUUCAAGGUGUGUCGUGUGUAAAUAAGCCAAAUCCAAAGUCCAACCAACAGGUUUGUACACGCCCCUCACUAUUCCUACUGAACCAUGGGUUGACAUCUCUAUGGACUUUGUUUUAGGACUGCCUAGGACUAGGAAAGGUAGAGAUAGUAUCUUUGUGGUGGUUGAUAGGUUUUCUAAGAUGACACAUUUCAUACCUUGCCAUAAGACUGAUGAUGCAUCCCUGGUAGCUGAUCUUUUCUUUAGAGAGGUUGUAAGAUUGCAUGGCAUGCCUAGGACUAUAGUUUCUGAUAGAGACUCUAAGUUCCUUAGCUACUUCUGGAAACUUUGUGGGGAAAACUAGGAACUAGGUUGUUGUUAUCAACUACUUGUCACCCACAAAAUGAUGGACAAACUGAGACUGUCAAUAGGACUCUAUCCUCCCUUCUGCGUGCUAUCAUUAAAAAGAACAUCAGGACUUGGGAAGAUUGUUUACCACAUGUAGAAUUUGCAUACAAUAGGUCAAUGCAUUCAGUUACUAAGCUUACACCUUUCCAGGUUGUCUAUGGACUUAAUCCUUUGUCUCCUUAAGACUUGUUCGCUUUGCCUUUAAAAGAACAAACUAACGUUGAUGGCAAGCAGAAGGCCGAGUUUAUUCGUUCCUUGCAUGAAUAGGUCAGAGAGAACAUAGAAGAGCGCACCAAGAUGUAUGUAAGGAAGAAGAACAAAAGCAGGAAGGAGUCAGUGCUGGAACCAGGUGACCUCGUGUAGAUUCACCUGAGAAAGGAUAGGUUUCCUACUGAGAGGAAAUCGAAGCUGAUGCCAAGGACAGAUGGUCCUUUCAAAGUGUUGAAAAGGAUUAACAAUAAUGCCUACCAGAUUGAUCUUGAAGGUAAGUAUACUAUAAGUUCAACUUUCAAUGUUUCUGACUUGAUCCCUUUUAUUGCAGAUGAAUCGGAUUUAAGGUCAAAUCAUUUUAAAGGAGUAGGGGAUGGUGCGACCAAGAGUGGAGACAUUGGGGAGCUGAGUGAGUCUAACGAGAGAGAGCUAAUGGAACCUGACCAAGGGGAUAAAAGAGCUGCCGAGUGGGAUAACUUAGGAGAAGAGCUUGAAGCUGUUGAUCCCGAACUGAACCUGAGCAAAGGAGGACAUGGAGAACAAACUGAGCUGGAGCUGGAUCAGGACCCGGCAAGUUGCUGGACUGGACCUAUCACAAGAUCAAGACUCAAAGCACAAAGAGAAGCUCUCCAACACUUUAUCAAAUCCGUGGGAACUAAACUAGAAGGAGAGAUUCAAGACAAACCAGCAUGUUGGUUUAAUCUAUUUAUGUGUAAUUGAUUUCACUUAAAACAAACCAAAGACAAUUAGGAUUAAGAAACCAAUUUCGGGUAGGAAUAGGAUUAGAUAAACCAAUUUCGAUUGGGAAUAGGAUUAGAAAUUAGAUUAAACCAUCUCAGUUUAUGAUUAGGGUAGCGUAAUGUUUCUUAUUUAACUUUCACGCCGCUGAUGUAUUGAUUCAACAAUCAAUCUAAUAAUUUUCAGCAAACUGCUUGUCUCGUUAUAUGGUUUCUCUGUUCAGCUAAAGGAACAUUGAUCUCACCUUAGGGAAGGAAUUCCUUAGUGAAUUCAUCACAACAAUACAGGGUAAACCUGUGUCGUGAGUAGCAAACCAUCUCUGAGGCGCAUCCAUAGCUUCAGAGAGUCGAACAUCGUCUGACAGAGUGCUAAUAGCCUCCAAAGACAACCCACGUCCAUCUCCAUCAAGUGAUCCAGGAAGAGAAGUCUAUCCAAGGUCGUACCAGAUCCUAAACCUCUAAAACCAAAAACCCGAAGAACUAAAGCGGAAUCGAAAUCAAGAACUGAAUGCCCACGAAAUGUAAGUUUAUUAGUCUUCUACUGAAUAAUUUCAUUAGAUUUUGCAUUUGAAAAUGUAAUUUUGCAGUAUUUUGAAUAACAAUCUGAACAUACAUUAACAAAAAUAAGUAAAUAAUCAUUUGAUUCAGUUGUGUUUUUGUAUCUGUUAGGUACUUACAUGAUAUCUAUAUCUAUAUUGAAUAUUCGUAGGUAAGUACUAAAACCAUAGUGCUGUUUGUUUGGUUGCCGCAGGUACCUGCGUCGGCGUCGGCAUCAAUUUUUUAAAAUAAUCUUGUUCGUUUCGUUGACACGCCGGUACUGCGUCUGCGUUCUCGCAUCAGACGCCAAAAAAAUCUGCGUCGUGCGAUAAAAAGUCAGCGUCUGAGGUUUGUUUUACACAUAUACCCUUAAUGUUUUUCAUUAUUUACAUAACCCUAAUUCGAUUUAGACGCAGCUUUACCUUUUUGACGCAGCCUUCGGAUAUCUCGUCUCUCUCUUCUCCAUUGACGCAUCCUUCGAUCUGUGCUUGAGCUCUCUCCAUCUCUCUCGAUCUCGACCCCUCUCUCCAUCUCUCUCGAUCUCGACAAAAACCCAUCUCUUCUCACUCUCGAAUCUCUUCAUCGACCUCUCUGGUCUCAGCCUCUCUCCAUCUCUCUCCUCUCAGCUCUCCCUCUCGACGACCCUCUCAAGCUCGACCUCUCAGGCUCUCCCUCUCUGGACAACCCUCUAAAGCUCAUACCCUCUCCGAACUACUGGCUCUCGAGGAUUUGUGUUACCUUCAAGGAGUGUUGUUACUCUCAUAACUCUG